AAGGUUUCCGUAGGUGAACCUGCGGAAGGAUCAUUAUUGAAUGAACUUGGUGUGGUUGUCGCUGGCCCUCUUGGGGGCAUGUGCACACCUACCAUCCUCAUCUCUCCACCUGUGCACCUCUUGUAGAUUUGGAAUUGAUUAUCCGAGGCAACUCGGUCGUGAGGACUGCUAGCACUUAGCUGGCUUUCUUUGCAAUUCCAGGUCUAUGUUUUUCAUAUACCCCAUUGUAUGUAACAGAAUGUAUCAUUGGGCCUUGUGCCUAUAAACCUUAUACAACUUUCAGCAACGGAUCUCUUGGCUCUCGCAUCGAUGAAGAACGCAGCGAAAUGCGAUAAGUAAUGUGAAUUGCAGAAUUCAGUGAAUCAUCGAAUCUUUGAACGCACCUUGCGCUCCUUGGUAUUCCGAGGAGCAUGCCUGUUUGAGUGUCAUUAAAUUCUCAACCAUUAUCAACUUUUGCUGAUAAUGGCUUGGAUGUGGGGGUCUAUUUUGCUGGCUUCUCAGAUAGUCAGCUCCCCUUAAAUGCAUUAGCCGGUGCCCCGCGUGGACUGUCUAUUGGUGUGAUAAUUAUCUACGCUAUAGACAUCUGCAAUCAUAUGGGUUUGCGCUGCUUCUAACAGUCUGUUGAUUCAGACAAUACAUGACAAUUUGACCUCAAAUCAGGUAGGACUACCCGCUGAACUUAA
RNAcentral lists this ribosomal RNA (683 nucleotides) under Hebeloma geminatum. RNAcentral describes it as "eukaryotic LSU rRNA". The stretch from base 275 to 428 matches the Rfam family "5.8S ribosomal RNA". The record is from RNAcentral. Lineage: Eukaryota; Fungi; Basidiomycota; Agaricomycetes; Agaricales; Hymenogastraceae.